Molecule: ribosomal RNA, 254 nt
Filed under: uncultured bacterium
Lineage: Bacteria
Description: partial 16S ribosomal RNA
Rfam family: Bacterial small subunit ribosomal RNA
Source: RNAcentral
UACGUAGGGGGCUAGCGUUGUCCGGAAUCAUUGGGCGUAAAGCGCGUGUAGGCGGUCCGGUAAGUCCGCUGUGAAAGUCGGGGGGCUCAACCCUCGGAUGCCGGUGGAUACUGUCGGGCUUGAGUACGGAAGAGGCGAGUGGAAUUCCUGGUGUAGCGGUGAAAUGCGCAGAUAUCAGGAGGAACACCAAUUGCGAAGGCAGAUCUCUGGGCCGUAACUGACGCUGAGGAGCGAAAGCGUGGGGAGCGAACAGG